RNAcentral lists this ribosomal RNA (492 nucleotides) under uncultured bacterium. RNAcentral describes it as "partial 16S ribosomal RNA". It matches the Rfam family "Bacterial small subunit ribosomal RNA", at positions 29 to 507 of the family's 1533-position model. The record is from RNAcentral.
AGUGAACGCUGGCGGUAGGCCUAACACAUGCAAGUCGAACGGCAGCACAGUAAGAGCUUGCUCUUACGGGUGGCGAGUGGCGGACGGGUGAGGAAUACAUCGGAAUCUACUUUUUCGUGGGGGAUAACGUAGGGAAACUUACGCUAAUACCGCAUACGACCUACGGGUGAAAGCAGGGGAUCUUCGGACCUUGCGCGAUUGAAUGAGCCGAUGUCGGAUUAGCUAGUUGGCGGGGUAAAGGCCCACCAAGGCGACGAUCCGUAGCUGGUCUGAGAGGAUGAUCAGCCACACUGGAACUGAGACACGGUCCAGACUCCUACGGGAGGCAGCAGUGGGGAAUAUUGGACAAUGGGCGCAAGCCUGAUCCAGCCAUACCGCGUGGGUGAAGAAGGCCUUCGGGUUGUAAAGCCCUUUUGUUGGGAAAGAAAAGCAGCAGGUUAAUACCCCGCUGUUCUGACGGUACCCAAAGAAUAAGCACCGGCUAAUUUCGCG